Molecule: long non-coding RNA, 93 nt
Organism: Sinocyclocheilus rhinocerous
Lineage: Eukaryota; Metazoa; Chordata; Actinopteri; Cypriniformes; Cyprinidae
Exons: 3
Source: RefSeq, a predicted model, not a curated record
GAAUGGCCGUCUGCGUCUGGCGGCUGACCCUUAGGACUGUUAGCUGGCUUAUUCCCCAUAUUCCUACUGCAGGCUUUUUUCUCUCCUCUCACU